GACAUAUCAUGUUGAAACACCGGUCCUCGUACGACCACUAAAAUUAAGCAACGUUGGGCCUGGUCAGUACCUAUAUGGGUGACCGCUUGGAAAUACCAGGUGCUGUAAG
Molecule: non-coding RNA, 109 nt
Organism: Acanthosepion pharaonis
Lineage: Eukaryota; Metazoa; Mollusca; Cephalopoda; Sepiida; Sepiidae
Source: the annotation of a GenBank genome assembly